CUACGGGAGGCAGCAGUAAGGAAUAUUGGACAAUGGGCGCAAGCCUGAUCCAGCCAUGCCGCGUGCAGGAUGAAGGACCUAUGGUUCGUAAACUGCUUUUAUACGGGACAAAACCCCCGGUCGUGCAUCGGGGUUGAUGGUACUGUAAGAAUAAGGGUCGGCUAACUCCGUGCCAGCAGCCGCGGUAAUACGGAGGAUCCAAGCGUUAUCCGGAUUCAUUGGGUUUAAAGGGUGCGUAGGCGGGAUUGUAAGUCAGUGGUGAAAGCCUGCAGCUUAACUGCAGAACUGCCAUUGAAACUGCUUUUCUUGAGUGCAUUUGAAGUGAGCGGAAUGAGUCAUGUAGCGGUGAAAUGCUUAGAUAUGACACAGAACACCGAUUGCGAAGGCAGCUCACUAAACUGUAACUGACGCUGAGGCACGAAAGCGUGGGGAUCAAACAGGAUUAGAAACCCUUGUAGUCC
This 461-nucleotide ribosomal RNA is filed under the name uncultured bacterium. Its description in RNAcentral is "bacterial SSU rRNA". It matches the Rfam family "Bacterial small subunit ribosomal RNA", at positions 339 to 796 of the family's 1533-position model. The record is from RNAcentral.